AAGACGAGAAAUGUUUUUAACAGAUAUAGGAUUUAUUGUAAUAGACACAGAACAUCACAGUCUUUUUUUGGUUAAUGAACAAACAAAAAACAAGGAUGACAUUAAAAUAUAAAAGUAAUUAACAACUCAGAAGAGCAAACACUCGGAAGAAGAUUGGAAACACAUCUUAGAGGACGAAAGACAAGGCACCGACCAACGCGGUUGCAAUGAGCUGAGGAUAGGCGGAGAAAGUGGCAGCACUUGGAGCCGGAGCACCUGGAGCCGGAGUAUGAGCAUGUGGCAUCGGAGCCAUAGCUGGACCAUGGUGGUGCCCGGCGUGUGACUCGGCACUCAUGACCAAUACGGCCAAGACAAUGCAGACGAAGGCAAAGCGGAUCAAAGAACUUCUUGCUGCCAUUUGAAUUCUUCUUUCUCCUUUUUCUUCUUCUUGUUCUGUGGUGACUUUCUUUGCUAUCUGUGGGAUCUAUCAAGAAAGG
Molecule: long non-coding RNA, 476 nt
Filed under: Brassica napus (rape)
Lineage: Eukaryota; Viridiplantae; Streptophyta; Magnoliopsida; Brassicales; Brassicaceae
Description: long non-coding RNA (BNAP_LNC012709)
Source: RNAcentral